CACACUGCAUACAAUAUACACAGUACGUGCACUACACAAACACAGACACGGCAUCCACUACACACUGCAUACACUACUCACACACAAUGAAUCCACUGCGCACUGCAUACACUACACACUGCAUGCGCUACACAAACACAGACAAUGCAUCCAGUGCACAAAUACAGGCACUGCAUUAACUACACACUGCAACCACUAUACACACCGCAUCCAUUACACACACAAUGCGUUCACAACAAACAUUGCACACAAUACACACAGACACUGCAUUCACAAACACACACUGCAUCCACCUCCAAGUCUGCCCACAAGGUUGCAGAGUGUUUAGAAAGGAAACAGGGUGUGUGUAAUGGAUGCAGAGUGUAUGUCUAGGCCAGGAAUAGGCAACCUUCGGCUCCCCAGAUGUUGUGGACUACAU
Pelobates cultripes (western spadefoot toad) is the source of this 418-nucleotide non-coding RNA. Lineage: Eukaryota; Metazoa; Chordata; Amphibia; Anura; Pelobatidae. The record is from the annotation of a GenBank genome assembly.